Penaeus monodon (black tiger shrimp) is the source of this 286-nucleotide long non-coding RNA. RefSeq lists it as uncharacterized. The transcript has 3 exons. The record is from RefSeq and is a predicted model, not a curated record. Lineage: Eukaryota; Metazoa; Arthropoda; Malacostraca; Decapoda; Penaeidae.
CCUCCUGUUUGCUUCCGUAAGCGCUCAAGCCGCGCAAACGAAAACAGGUGGUCCAGAUUCAAGAUUUCGUCCUCAAUGUGUGGCUAUUCGUCGUUGAAAUUAUAUUAUCCGUAGGUUAUCAAAGGUUAAACAACUCUUUAAGAAUUAUUUCUAACGGCUGAGAUCCUUUCAGGAGGAUCAGAUCAGAAGGUUAUGGGCAAUGCUGCCAAGGAAAUUCAGGUAAAUCCCCGAGAGUGUAGGAUUUGCAUUGAAAAUUAUGAUCCUGUUACCCAAAAGCCCAAAGUUU